This 1602-nucleotide long non-coding RNA is filed under the name Triticum aestivum (bread wheat). Its description in RNAcentral is "long non-coding RNA (TAES_LNC008828)". Lineage: Eukaryota; Viridiplantae; Streptophyta; Magnoliopsida; Poales; Poaceae. The record is from RNAcentral.
UGAACUUUCACAACCUAUGUUUUUUCUAUCGGUAAGUGUUCUUUUUUUCCCGGGCAUUCAUAAUUUGUACCUUUAUACAAUAAUACUCGAACAUACGGUACCAGAGAGUUUGUACUUCUCAAAAAUAAUCACUGAAGUUCUUUCUGUGCAAUAAAUUUUUAGAGGUAUGAUAUUCACAGUAGAAAAUUCCACAAUAAUGUAACUGCAGAGGCUAUAAACUGGAAUUUUCUUUGAUAAACAGUGACGCUAUAAGUCACAUGUUACAGCUACAACAUACAAAACCAAAAAUUGUACAACACUCGUACAUUUCAGACCAAAGAUUUUAGUAUAUGAGUGCAAAAAUAGUAGAAAAUUAUACAUGGACCGAGUCCUUGUGUUUUCUUUCUUCAGUGUCCAGAUCAUACAAUAAAACAUACACCUAACACAUGCACUGCACAUACAAGUGCAAACUCUCCCAGUAUAUUUUGUUUUGCAAACUCCUAGAGUUCUUGUGUUUUGAACUCCUCUGGUUGAACCUCCCAUUGAAAUAGAGUCCUUGCCAUGAUAUACAAUCUGCAACUGAGCAUCAUAUAUGCGUUUAGUUCAAAUUCCAGGAAUUAUCAAUGAGGAACAGUUCAAAAGCAACCAGACACAAGUUCAAUAGAAGCACAUGGCAAAAACUAUCUACAAAAGGUAGCACAGACACAAAAGUUUAGUACUCCCUCCCGUCCCAUAAUAUAGAACUGAUGCAAGUUCCAACUUUUGUCGUGAACUGAUGUGGAUGAGAUGCAACCCAAACCAACAGGUGAUUUGCAAACUUAUGAGAAAUAAUUCUGUUAAACACCUAGCUUCAGUACAAUCAUUUAUGAAAAGUUAUCUAGUUCCAAAUUAUGACCUUGAAGAAUAAUUCUCAUAAGCUAGAACAAGCACGUAGAAGAGUGCUGAGGGCACACAUAAUUUUGGGGGUAUUUCCUCAAGCUUCUACACUUCUUUUAAGUAGACAAAAAUGAUGAAAGGAAACACACUUUGUAAGAUGUACUGAAAAAGCCUAAAAAGGUGAAGUGAAAUGUUUUGAAGCUCCAGGAAGCCUCUCGACGAACUGAAACUUCGUGUAUCCCAGGAGGUUGACCUGCAGAGGAGCAUGAACUAGAACAUUAAGCAUCGACUUCUCACAAUUUAGUUACAUAUAAUAAACAACCACAAGCACUUGGGAUAGCUAGGCAUAUAAACAUGCUUGAACAGGAAGAAAUUCUACAUAAUUUAGUAACAUAUAAACAAGAAGUGCUGAUCUAGGAAUAUAAUAAAGAGCCUAUACAUGUUGUAUCUACAAGAGCUUGUACAUGAUAUAGUUGCAAGAGAAACUAACUAGAGCAACAUUUUUCUCUUCUCACAAUGAAUAAAAAAUUUCUGUAUGUCGAAGGACUAGCAAGGGUCUCAGGAAUCAACUACAUUUUCAAUCAACUCGAUAUUCAUCAGCACUAUUAUAGCUGGACAAGAAGCUCAGAAUUGCAGCCGCACACGCACUGAACUUACAGAAGUUUUACUUUGUACUUUUCUAGGUGAUAUAUCUUACCUUACAGGGUUUGAAAACGUGAACUGAUUAUAUGAAGGAGUACAAGGGGA